This 470-nucleotide ribosomal RNA is filed under the name uncultured bacterium. RNAcentral's name for it is "partial 16S ribosomal RNA". It matches the Rfam family "Bacterial small subunit ribosomal RNA", at positions 28 to 507 of the family's 1533-position model. The record is from RNAcentral.
GAUGAACGCUGGCGGCGUGCCUAAUACAUGCAAGUCGAGCGAACAGACGAGGAGCUUGCUCCUCUGACGUUAGCGGCGAACGGGUGAGUAACACGUGAGUAACCUGCCCUUAACUCUGGGAUAAGCCUGGGAAACUGGGUCUAAUACCGGAUAGGAGCGUCCACCGCAUGGUGGGUGUUGGAAAGAUUUAUCGGUUUUGGAUGGACUCGCGGCCUAUCAGCUUGUUGGUGAGGUAAUGGCUCACCAAGGCGACGACGGGUAGCCGGCCUGAGAGGGUGACCGGCCACACUGGGACUGAGACACGGCCCAGACUCCUACGGGAGGCAGCAGUGGGGAAUAUUGCACAAUGGGCGCAAGCCUGAUGCAGCGACGCCGCGUGAGGGAUGACGGCCUUCGGGUUGUAAACCUCUUUCAGUAGGGAAGAAGCGAAAGUGACGGUACCUGCAGAAGAAGCACCGGCUAACUACGUG